AUAGAUUAAGUUAUUAAGGGCGCACGGUGGAUGCCUUGGCACUAGAAGCCGAUGAAGGACGUUACUAACGACGAUAUGCUUUGGGUAGCUGUAAGUAAGCGUUGAUCCAGAGAUUUCCGAAUGGGGGAACCCAGCAUGAGUUAUGUCAUGUUAUCGACAUGUGAAUUCAUAGCAUGUCAGAAGGCAGACCCGGAGAACUGAAACAUCUUAGUACCCGGAGGAAGAGAAAGAAAAAUCGAUUCCCU
RNAcentral lists this ribosomal RNA (245 nucleotides) under Staphylococcus epidermidis. RNAcentral describes it as "partial 23S ribosomal RNA". It matches the Rfam family "Bacterial large subunit ribosomal RNA", at positions 1 to 240 of the family's 2925-position model. Lineage: Bacteria; Bacillati; Bacillota; Bacilli; Caryophanales; Staphylococcaceae. The record is from RNAcentral.